RNAcentral lists this ribosomal RNA (393 nucleotides) under uncultured bacterium. RNAcentral describes it as "partial 16S ribosomal RNA". It matches the Rfam family "Bacterial small subunit ribosomal RNA", at positions 338 to 729 of the family's 1533-position model. The record is from RNAcentral.
CCUACGGGAGGCAGCAGUGAGGAAUAUUGGUCAAUGGCCGGAAGGCUGAACCAGCCAAGCCGCGUGAAGGACGAAGGUUCCAAGCAUUGUAAACUUCUUUUGUCAAGGGACAAAAUGAGGCACGAGAGCCUGACUGAGGGUACUUGAUGAAAAAGCAUCGGCUAACUCCGUGCCAGCAGCCGCGGUAAUACGGAGGAUGCGAGCGUUAUCCGGAUUUAUUGGGUUAAAAGGGUGCGUAGGCGGGCAGUUAAGUCAGCGGUAAAAGCCCGGGGCUCAACCCCGGAGUGCCGUUGAAACUGGGUGUCUUGAGAAGUCGAGAGGUAUGCGGAAUGCGCGGUGUAGCGGUGAAAUGCUUAGAUAUUGCGCAGAACUCCGAUUGCGAAGGCAGCAUAC